AAAGUGCUGCCAAAUUUGGGUGU
This 23-nucleotide microRNA is filed under the name Dasypus novemcinctus (nine-banded armadillo). RNAcentral's name for it is "dno-miR-372-3p". Its record names the gene dno-miR-372-3p. The record is from miRBase by way of RNAcentral. Lineage: Eukaryota; Metazoa; Chordata; Mammalia; Cingulata; Dasypodidae.